This 440-nucleotide ribosomal RNA is filed under the name uncultured bacterium. Its description in RNAcentral is "partial 16S ribosomal RNA". It matches the Rfam family "Bacterial small subunit ribosomal RNA", at positions 339 to 795 of the family's 1533-position model. The record is from RNAcentral.
CUACGGGGGGCACCAGCAGGGAAUUUUGCGCAAUGGGCGAAAGCCUGACGCAGCAACGCCGCGUGGGGGAUGAAGGCCUUCGGGUUGUAAACCCCUUUCAGGAGGGAAGAAAUUGACGGUACCUCCAGAAGAAGCACCGGCCAACUACGUGCCAGCAGCCGCGGUAAUACGUAGGGUGCGAGCGUUAUCCGGAAUCAUUGGGCGUAAAGAGCUCGUAGGCGGUUCAGCAAGUCGGCUGUGAAAGUCCGAGGCUCAACCUCGGAAUUGCAGUCGAUACUGCUGUGACUCGAGUCCGGUAGAGGAGAACGGAAUUCCCGGUGUAGCGGUGAAAUGCGCAGAUAUCGGGAGGAACACCAGUAGCGAAGGCGGUUCUCUGGGCCGGCACUGACGCUGAGGAGCGGAAGCGUGGGGAGCGAACAGGAUUAGAUACCCUUGUAGUC